RNAcentral lists this transfer RNA (70 nucleotides) under Felis catus (domestic cat). It matches the Rfam family "tRNA". Rfam says of the family: Transfer RNA (tRNA) molecules are approximately 80 nucleotides in length. Their secondary structure includes four short double-helical elements and three loops (D, anti-codon, and T loops). Lineage: Eukaryota; Metazoa; Chordata; Mammalia; Carnivora; Felidae. The record is from Rfam by way of RNAcentral.
GCCUGGCUGGCUCGAUUGGAGCAUGUGACUGUUGAUCUCAGGGUUGUGAGUUCGAGCCCCACGUUAGGUG